GCCUUCUUGGCUCAGUUGGCAGAGCGUCUGCCUAGUAUUACGUUGUAAGCAGAAGGUCAGCGGUUCGAUUCCGCUAGAAGGCA
Molecule: non-coding RNA, 83 nt
Organism: Gigaspora rosea
Lineage: Eukaryota; Fungi; Glomeromycota; Glomeromycetes; Diversisporales; Gigasporaceae
Source: the annotation of a GenBank genome assembly